This 215-nucleotide unclassified non-coding RNA is filed under the name uncultured fungus. RNAcentral's name for it is "sequence contains ITS1". The record is from RNAcentral. Lineage: Eukaryota; Fungi.
ACAAAGCUUGAAGUUCGCUCCAACCGCGUCUUCAACAAAUCCAUCCACACCUUGUGCAAUAUUGACAUCGAGGCAAGUUCUUUCGGGAAUUUGCUGGUCUUGUGGGGGGAAAAACCUAAAGGAUAGGCAGCAAUGCUUAACCUUUAAGCCCCCCAAAAGUAUUUAACCUAUACGUUUUUUUGUUGGUCUGAACCUUUUUAUUGAUACAAUAAAAA